RNAcentral lists this ribosomal RNA (797 nucleotides) under Staphylococcus aureus. RNAcentral's name for it is "partial 23S ribosomal RNA". It matches the Rfam family "Bacterial large subunit ribosomal RNA", at positions 1623 to 2419 of the family's 2925-position model. The record is from RNAcentral. Lineage: Bacteria; Bacillati; Bacillota; Bacilli; Caryophanales; Staphylococcaceae.
CUAGAUAGAAAAUAGGUGCCCGUACCGCAAACCGACACAGGUAGUCAAGAUGAGAAUUCUAAGGUGAGCGAGCGAACUCUCGUUAAGGAACUCGGCAAAAUGACCCCGUAACUUCGGGAGAAGGGGUGCUCUUUAGGGUUAACGCCCAGAAGAGCCGCAGUGAAUAGGCCCAAGCGACUGUUUAUCAAAAACACAGGUCUCUGCUAAACCGUAAGGUGAUGUAUAGGGGCUGACGCCUGCCCGGUGCUGGAAGGUUAAGAGGAGUGGUUAGCUUCUGCGAAGCUACGAAUCGAAGCCCCAGUAAACGGCGGCCGUAACUAUAACGGUCCUAAGGUAGCGAAAUUCCUUGUCGGGUAAGUUCCGACCCGCACGAAAGGCGUAACGAUUUGGGCACUGUCUCAACGAGAGACUCGGUGAAAUCAUAGUACCUGUGAAGAUGCAGGUUACCCGCGACAGGACGGAAAGACCCCGUGGAGCUUUACUGUAGCCUGAUAUUGAAAUUCGGCACAGCUUGUACAGGAUAGGUAGGAGCCUUUGAAACGUGAGCGCUAGCUUACGUGGAGGCGCUGGUGGGAUACUACCCUAGCUGUGUUGGCUUUCUAACCCGCACCACUUAUCGUGGUGGGAGACAGUGUCAGGCGGGCAGUUUGACUGGGGCGGUCGCCUCCUAAAAGGUAACGGAGGCGCUCAAAGGUUCCCUCAGAAUGGUUGGAAAUCAUUCAUAGAGUGUAAAGGCAUAAGGGAGCUUGACUGCGAGACCUACAAGUCGAGCAGGGUCGAAAGACGGACUUAGUGAU